This 465-nucleotide long non-coding RNA is filed under the name Homo sapiens (human). RNAcentral's name for it is "non-protein coding lnc-PPDPFL-7:2". Lineage: Eukaryota; Metazoa; Chordata; Mammalia; Primates; Hominidae. The record is from RNAcentral.
AUGCUGAGUUUCUUCCGUAGAACACUAGGGAGUCGGUCUAUGGGUAAACAUGCAGAGAAGGAACGACUCCGAGAAGCACAAUGCGCUGCCACACAUAUUCCUGCCCCUGGAGAUUCCAGGUCCAUCAUCACGUGUCAGGUGUCCCUUCUGGAUGGUACUGAUGUUAGUGUGGACUUGCCAAAAAAAGCCAAAGGGCAAGAGUUGUUUGAUCAGAUUAUGUAUCACCUGGAUCUUAUUGAAAGUGGCUAUUUUGAUCUGAGAUUUAUGGAUUCAGCACAAGUAGCAUCACCAAAGUAAUUCAAUGGAAGAAGAAUAGUCUCAAUAAUGGUGCUGGAUUAGAACCUGUGGAAAAAGGCAAAAAAAAAAAAAAAAUGGUGCCGGAGCAGCUGGAUAUCUAUAAGACAAAAAACCUUGAUCUAAACCUUGUAUCUAUACAAAAAUCAACUCAAAAUGGAUAAUUAAUCU